Nematostella vectensis (starlet sea anemone) is the source of this 903-nucleotide long non-coding RNA. RefSeq lists it as uncharacterized. Lineage: Eukaryota; Metazoa; Cnidaria; Anthozoa; Actiniaria; Edwardsiidae. The transcript is spliced from 2 exons. The record is from RefSeq and is a predicted model, not a curated record.
CGCGUCUGAACAAAUGAACAAACAGCAGGGAAUUAAACUACAAUUGUUUGCAAGAGCCUGGUUAAUGCAGACUGGAUCGGCAACAGCUAAAAGUCUAGGAGCCUUGCACAUGAGGGUAGUUAGGGAAAUGCAACUGUAACUUAUAUACACUUGGGUUUGUACCUUUAAAUACUCUAUAAACCUUCUCAUGAAACCAACAAAAUGCUCAGCUUUCCGAAUAUUUCCUGGGACAGACUCUGCACAAAAUUAGAAAAAAAAUUGUGAGGCAUUCUUCUUAAAGGUGAAGCUCAGGCAGAAGUACAAAUAAUAGCAAAGCUAUCAUUCUCUUACCUUGUAGCACUUCAUCUGGGAGGACUGUUAUGGCGUGAAACAAUGAAGGGAAAAAGAUGUCAAUCAUCAACAUUGGUCAAUCAGCAACAUCUAUCUAUCAACUGCACACCUGUCAAUGACUGAUGCGAGGGACUCAACAUUAGCAUGACUUCUAUCCAGGGUACGUCUAGAGAUGGUCACGCUCAUGGAGUCAAUACAAACAUUAUCUGCCGAGAAGAACAAACAGCAUGUGUGAUUAGCAGCACAAUCAGCACGCUCAUCAAGUCAAUACAAACUUAUCUACCAUGAAGAACAAACACCAUGUGUAAUUAGCUGCAAAAUGUUCGAGUACCACUGAGUACAAAACUGUAGAAAUCUGAAUUGUUAAAUUCCUAGCAAGCGUGGAAUUUGGAAAGGCAAUAUAAAUAAGCAUGUUUCUGGAGCGGAAUGAAAUCUAAGGAAUGUGAUAGCCCUUGGGAAUACAAUUUAAAAAGAUGUCGAAUAAAAAUACCAUACGCUAGGGCCAAGUUUGCAAAGGGUCUAAUAAUGCAUCAAGGUUUCUUUAUGAAAAUAAAUGUUCUUUACUCAGCAUAA